GCCAGGCAUGGUGGUGCGUGCCUGUAGUCCCAGCUACUCAGGAGGCUGAGGCAGAAGAAUUGCUUGUACCUGGGAGGUGGAGGUUGCAGUGAGCCAAGAUCGCACCACUGCACUCCAGCCUGGGUGACAGAGCAAGACUCUGUCUCAA
RNAcentral lists this non-coding RNA (148 nucleotides) under Nomascus leucogenys (northern white-cheeked gibbon). Lineage: Eukaryota; Metazoa; Chordata; Mammalia; Primates; Hylobatidae. The record is from Rfam by way of RNAcentral.